GACGAACGCUGGCGGCGUGCUUAACACAUGCAAGUCGAACGGAAAGGCCUGCUUUCCCUUGUGGUUUGCGGGUACUCGAGUGGCGAACGGGUGAGUAACACGUGAGUGAUCUGCCCCCAACUUGGGUAUAAGCCUGGGAAACUGGGUCUAAUUCCCGAUAGGACUGCAGGGUGGUGCCUGUGGUGGAAAACGAUUUUCUAGUGGGUGGGGAUGAGCUCGCGGCCUAUCAGCUUGUUGGUGGGGUAAUGGCCUACCAAGGCGGCGACGGGUAGCCGGCCUGAGAGGGGGGACGGCCACAUUGAGACUGAGAUACGGCCCAGACGCCUGCGGGAGGCAGCAGUGGGGAAUAGUGCACAAUGGGCGGAAGCCUGAUGCAGCGACGCCGCGUGGGGGAUGACGGCCUUCGGGUUGUAAACUCCUUUCGACCGCGAGGAAGCCACCUGGUUGGAAGGGUGGUGACGGUAGUGGUAGAAGAAGCACCGGCUAACUACGUG
This 494-nucleotide ribosomal RNA is filed under the name uncultured bacterium. RNAcentral describes it as "partial 16S ribosomal RNA". It matches the Rfam family "Bacterial small subunit ribosomal RNA", at positions 28 to 507 of the family's 1533-position model. The record is from RNAcentral.